GUCUACGGCCAUACCACCCUGAACGUGCCCGAUCUCGUCUGAUCUCAGAAGAAAAUAGCAAGAAUGGGGUUCAUUUAGGAGGACUCCCGGGGGAAAUCACAUCAGAAUUUCUCAGAAUGUUGCCC
This 125-nucleotide ribosomal RNA is filed under the name Octodon degus (degu). Lineage: Eukaryota; Metazoa; Chordata; Mammalia; Rodentia; Octodontidae. The record is from RNAcentral.